This 678-nucleotide ribosomal RNA is filed under the name Triticum aestivum (bread wheat). RNAcentral's name for it is "partial small subunit ribosomal RNA". The record is from RNAcentral. Lineage: Eukaryota; Viridiplantae; Streptophyta; Magnoliopsida; Poales; Poaceae.
AUGCGACAGACGCCGACCGCCGUGCUCCCAGGCGCCCGCAACCUGUUCGAGGAAAUGCCAUCCGCCGUUGACGAGGACUACAUGCAGAACCUCAUCUUCAAGGACGGUGCGCCGGCCGCUGGCUACAAUCCCGACGAGACACAAAGCCAGGACGACCGCAGGGCGUUCACGCCGGCCGCUGGCUAUGAACCCGAUCAGGCGGCCUUCAUGCGUGAUCAGGUUGGCAUCGACCUGGACGGCUUCCCCCUCGACCACGAGUUCCCGGACGACUACGGGCUAGAGGAAGAAGACGACUGCAACAACGAAGUGGAGCCUUUGUUCGAGGACGGGCUCGCGAACCAAGCCGCCGGUCGCACGCGAUCCCGCGGCGCGGUGGCGCCCGCUCCUCCUCGCCUCUCCGUCCGCACAUGUCUCCUCCCUAGGCACGACGUGGGUGCACGCAGGGAGGCCGCCGGUGAACGAGGCCGCGCCCGAGGCGGCGCGGAGCCCUCUACUCUUGUGAUCCGCGUCGGUCACCUCCAUCGCCACCGCGAGCCACCUUCUCCUCCGCCGCCAAGAAUCCCAUCCCCGGCAAGGAGGACGGGCUUCCUAGACAAGAAGAUCUCUGUACUCUUCUCAAUGGAUUGUGCUGUAAUUUGGGGAGAGAUGGAGAACAUGAGCCUUGGCUACCUGAAGUAG